CACAGGCUUUAAAGCUAAACUGAAGCUUGGGGACGGGAUUGAGCUGCAGGCACCGAGGGGAAGCAGCAGACCCCACGCUGUGCAGUCUCAAGCUUCGACUGAAAGCGGCCAGCUUCCAAACAAAGAAAACAAAUCUGGACUAAAACUAAAGCAGUUAUUAUCUGCGGAUUUUACAAAAGAAAAUUAACAAGAUUCGGAGUGCUGAGGGCGAAAAAAGGGAGUCCGUCCCAGCGGUAAGGAGAAAAUGGCGUCUGGCGGAAGACUGAGAGAGGACUGAAAGUAAGAAAGCAGCCGCCAAGUGAGGUUCGCAGAAAAUCCUUGGUUACUAUGUUCCGAGGUAACGAUUUGUGGGGAAACAACAGAGAGGCAUAGAAGGGGAGGCAAAACUUCUUUGUAUCGUCUUGGUUGAAGCGUCCUGUGCCAGUGGUCGGAGAGUGAGCUUAAAAUGCCCACCAGUGAACACCCGUGAACUCUGCUUUUUUCCUGCUGUUUGUAAAGAGGUUGGGCAGAAGUCUAUGUUGGAGUCACAGUCGGUACGUUUGCAGGAGCAAGAAAGAAGAGACUUGGGGAUUGCUGUGAAUUGCUGUGAAUAUCUGCUGAAGUUCUAUCUGAGCCUCUCCUUUGCUUUUUUCGCCCUCUAUGUGGGGGAGGAGAUAAACGGUACGCUUUAUAAUGCUUGAUUAUCGGUCUUGAGUGGAGAAUUUAUGGAUUAAGCUGAUAAGGAACCGGAAAAAGAAGAUUUUGUAUUUGGAGUACAACACGAAGAAUAAGUCUUUGACUUUUAUUUUUAUCUUUACUUCUUACUCCUGUUUUCCCCCCUCUCCCCCCUCUUCUUCUUUCCUGAUCUUUUCCCUCCCUUUCCUUACUCUAUCGCCCCUCGUGUAUCCCUUCCCCCACCCUUAUUUCCCACCCCUUCUCUCUUUUUUAUCUGCUCUCCCUCCCUCCCUCCCUUUCUGCUCUCUCCGUGUUUUGGAGGUUUCAUCCCCUUCUUUACUUUUUGUGCCUUUCUUCCUGACACUCUAUGGCAGUCUCCCAGUCUAGUCCUCCAGCCACGUGAAAGGGGAAAUUCCAUUUGAAGGACAAAGAAAUGGAAAGUAACUUUACUUAAGGAAGGAUUUUUAUUGAAUUUACAGGAACUGCUGCCACUGUGUGGGGAAAGAGGGGACUGCAAUUGGGAAAUUUGAAAAACAGUAUACAUUAAUUUGCGACCCCUAGGGGUGGAAAUUAGAAUAACAUUAGUAAAUAAAUAUCUGAUUAAGCAAUUGUGACAGAAUGAAGAAAAGAUUGGGAACACCAGGAGAAAGAAGACCAUCUAGACAGGAGAAUGGCAAGAAUGGGAAAGAGAUAAAGGACUAUGAUGCGUUGAUGGUUGAAAUAAGAAAGGAGUUUAAACAAAAUGAACAAUAUAUUGAGAAAUUGUUAGAAGUUCAGGAUACAUUAGAUAAGAAACUGGAGGGGGUGGUGGGAGAACUGACAGGUAAAGUAAAGGACUUAACGGUAAGAUCUAAAGUGUUGGAAGAGUCAAUGAAAAGGGCUCAGAAAGAUCUAAAGGAAAGUAAAAAGGAGACAGAUAGGAUCAGAGGAGAAAUAAAGGACAUAAGUAAAACACAAGAAGAACUACUGGAUAAUAUGUCAAUGCUAGAAAUGAGGCAGAAACAGUUGAAUUUGAAAUUCAGAGGUAUUCCUGAGGGGAUAAACGAAAAUAUAAGAGCUAAAUUAAUUAAAGAAUUAGCAAACUGGCUAGACAUGAGGAAAGAGGAGAUAGGCUAUACAAUAGCAAAUGCAUUUCGAAUAAAGGUAAAAUCUGCCAGAGCAAGAGGGAAGAAAUUGCUGGGGAUGUACCGGUUAUGUUCAACCUUAUGGACAUGAGGAAUGAGAUACUGAGAUUAAAUUAUAAUAAAAACGUAUGCAUUGAUGGGAAGGCAAUUAUUGUAUUCAAGGAGGUUCCAGCCAGAUUUCUUUUUCUUUUUUUUUUUAAAUAAUUUUUAUAAAAGUUUUAAACAACAAAGAAACAACACACACAAAAAGCAAUACAAAACUCAACAAUAAAAAACAAAAAACGUAACAAUUAAAAACAAACUCUCUUUUCCAUUUCCAUUUUUAGAUUACUUAUUUUCUGGACUUCCUCAUACCUCCCUCUUUUGUAUUCCAAUCCAAAUUAUUUGUCCAGCAGUUUCUUUUCCACUUUUUUAAUCCCAAUCUUUAAUUUAAUAAAAUAUUAAAAUAUAUAACUUCAACUUCUUUAAACCUAAUCCUUGAUCUUAAUAUCAUAUAACAUUAAAAUUUUCCCUUUUAAUAUCAAAUUUCCAUUUCUUUAAACAUCUUUAAUCUUGAUCUUUAAUCUUAGUCUAUCAUUAACUUUAACUUGUGCAGCUGGAAACCACUUAUUUUCAGUCCAACAUCACUCUAACAUUCCUUAAUUUUGCAAUGUUUCUGAAGAUAGUCUUUGAAUUUCUUCCAAUCUUCCUCCAUCGACUCUUCUCCCUGGUCACGGAUUCUACCAGUCAUUUCUGCCAAUUCCAUAUAGUCCAUAAGUUUCAUCUGCCAUUCCUCCAGCGUGGGAAGUUCUUGUGUCUUCCAAUACUUUGCGAUGAGUAUUCUUGCUGCUGUUGUUGCAUACAUAAAGAAAGUUCUAUCCUUUUUAACACCAUUUGGCCCACUAUGCCCAGGAGAAAGGCCUCUGGUUUCUUAUGGAAGGUAUACUUAAAUACCUUUUUAAUUCAUUAUAUAUCAUUUCCCAGAAAGCCUUAAUAUUUGGGCACGUCCACCAAAGGUGAAAGAAUGUACCUUCGGUUUCUUUACAUUUCCAACAUUUGUUAUCGGGCAAGUGAUAGAUUUUUGCAAGCUUGACUGGGGUUAUGUACCACCUGUAUAUCAUUUUCAUAAUAUUCUCUCUUAAGGCAUUACAUGCCGUAAAUUUCAUACCUAGUGGUCCAUAACUGUUCCCAGUCAGCAAACAUAAUGUUAUGUCCAAUGUCCUGUGCCCAUUUAAUCAUAGCCGAUUUUACCGUUUCAUCCUGAGUAUUCCAUUUCAGCAGCAAGUUAUACAUUCUUGUCAAAUUCUUCGUAUUGGGUUCUAUCAGUUCUAUUUCUAAUUUUGAUUUUUCCACCUGGAAGCCAAUUUUCCUGUCUAAUUUAAAUGCCUCCAUUAUUUGAUAAUAAUGAAGCCAGUCUCGCACUUUGUUUUUAAUUUUUCAAAACUCUGCAAUUUCAGUCUAUCUCCGUCUUGUUCCAAAAUUUCCCAAUAUUUCGGCCAUUUGACCUCCAUAUUGACCCUUUUCAAGGCUUUCGCUUCCAUUGGUGACAGCCACCUUGGGGUUUUAUUUUCUAGCAAAUCCUUAUAUCUAAUCCAAACAUUACAUAAUGCUUUCCUGACAAUGUGGUUUUUAAAUGCUUUGUGUGCUUUGACCUUAUCAUACCAUAAAUAUGCAUGCCAUCCAAAUACAUUAUUGAAACCUUCCAAAUCCAAAAUGUCAGUGCAAAACGCAUUUAGAAUGAAGGCAAGAACAACUAAGACAAGGAAAUCUCCGGGAGACUGUCUAAUUAUAUUCAAGGACAGAGAAAUGAGAAAUAUGAUCUUGCAGAAGAACAGAGAGAAAAGAUUGAAUAUUGAUGGGAAUUAUAUAAUUAUUUUUAAAGAUAUACCAAUCAGACUGUUGAAACGGAGAGAUCCAUAUAAACCAUUGGUGCAAAUUUUAAAGAAGAACAAAAUAGAAUUCAAGUGGGAAUUUCCAGAGGGGAUCUCUUUUUUCUAUGAAAGUAAGAAACACAAACACACAAGCUCAGAGGAAGCAAGCAAGUUUCUGAGAAGAUACAAGGAAUUAAGACCAGAAGAGGAAGAAAUAAGAGGUGCAGCAGCAGGAGCAGGAGCUACGGGGGAAAGUGGAUUGGGAGAGGGAGAAGAAGAAGAUGGAAGAAACACAG
This 3924-nucleotide long non-coding RNA is filed under the name Podarcis lilfordi (Lilford's wall lizard). The record is from RNAcentral. Lineage: Eukaryota; Metazoa; Chordata; Lepidosauria; Squamata; Lacertidae.